This 463-nucleotide ribosomal RNA is filed under the name uncultured bacterium. Its description in RNAcentral is "partial 16S ribosomal RNA". It matches the Rfam family "Bacterial small subunit ribosomal RNA", at positions 28 to 507 of the family's 1533-position model. The record is from RNAcentral.
GAUGAACGCUGACAGCAUGCUUAACACAUGCAAGUCGAUGGGGAAGUGGUGCUUGCACCCUGGCAACCAUGGCGGACGGGUGAGUAACGCGUAAGGGACUUACCUGCAGGACUGGGAUAACAGGGGGAAACUCCUGACAAGACCGGAUAAUGUCAUGGAGCUGCAUGGCUUUAUGAUGAAAGGAGACGCCUGCGGAGAGCCUUGCGUCCUAUUAGCUAGUUGGUGAGGUAAUGGCUCACCAAGGCGAAGAUAGGUAGCCGGCCUGAGAGGGUGGACGGCCACAAGGGGACUGAGAUACGGCCCUUACUCCUACGGGAGGCAGCAGUGGGGAAUAUUGGACAAUGGGGGCAACCCUGAUCCAGCAAUUCUGUGUGCACGAAGAAGGUUUUCGGAGUGUAAAGUGCUUUCAGCAGGGAAGAAGUAAGUGACGGUACCUGCAGAAGAAGCGACGGCUAAAUACGUG